RNAcentral lists this unclassified non-coding RNA (246 nucleotides) under Glomeraceae sp. RNAcentral's name for it is "partial contains 5.8S ribosomal RNA and internal transcribed spacer 2". The stretch from base 1 to 65 matches the Rfam family "5.8S ribosomal RNA", at positions 84 to 154 of the family's 154-position model. The record is from RNAcentral. Lineage: Eukaryota; Fungi; Glomeromycota; Glomeromycetes; Glomerales; Glomeraceae.
GUGAAUCAUCAAAUCUUUGAACGCAAAUUGCACUCUCUUCUGAGAGUAUGCCUGUUUGAGGGUCAGUAUUAAUAAAAAUCGGUGUGUUCCUUCUUUGUGACGCUCCGGUGUUUGGGUCAUCUUAAUAUCCUUUAGGGUUUAAGUGGAUUAAAAUUUUCUUUUUUUGCGCAUUUUAGCGAUACAUAAAUUCUUUUUUUUAUUCUUCCUUUUGAUUUCCAAUAUCUUAUUAGAUGCAAUCAUAUCGUG